Molecule: ribosomal RNA, 484 nt
Filed under: uncultured bacterium
Lineage: Bacteria
Description: partial 16S ribosomal RNA
Rfam family: Bacterial small subunit ribosomal RNA
Source: RNAcentral
AUUGAACGCUGGCGGCAGGCCUAACACAUGCAAGUCGAGCGGAUGAAGGGAGCUUUCUCCUGGUUUCAGCGGCGGACGGGUGAGUAAUGCCUAGGAAUCUGCCUGGUAGUGGGGGAUAACGUCCGGAAACGGGCGCUAAUACCGCAUACGUCCUGAUGGAGAAAGUGGGUGAUCUUCGGACCUCUCGCUAUCAGAUGAGCCUAGGUCGGAUUAGCUAGUUGGUUGGGUAAAGGCCUACCAAGGCGACGAUCCGUUACUGGUCUGAGAGGAUGAUCAGUCACACUGGAGCUGAGACACGGUCAAGACUCCUGAGGGAGGCAGCAGUGGGGAAUAUUGGACAAUGGGCGAAAGCCUGAUCCAGCCAUGCCGAGUGUGUGAAGAAGGUCUUCGGAUUGUAAAGCACGUUAAGUUGGGAGGAAGGGCAGUAAGUUAAUACCUUGCUGUUUUGACGUUACCAACAGAAUAAGCACCGGCUAACUUCGUG